This 454-nucleotide ribosomal RNA is filed under the name uncultured bacterium. RNAcentral's name for it is "partial 16S ribosomal RNA". It matches the Rfam family "Bacterial small subunit ribosomal RNA", at positions 28 to 507 of the family's 1533-position model. The record is from RNAcentral.
GAUGAACGCUGACAGAAUGCUUAACACAUGCAAGUCAACUUGAACUUCGGUUUGGGUGGCGGACGGUUGAGUAACGCGUAAAGAACUUGCCUCACAGCUAGGGGCAACAUUUGGAAGCGUAUGCUAAUACCUGAUAUUAUGAUUAUAUGGCAGCGUACAAUUAUGAAAGCUAUAUGCGCUGUGAGAGGGCGUUGCGUCCCUUUAGCUAGUUGGAGAGGCAACAGCUCACCAAGGCGAUGAUGGGUAGCCGGCCUGGGAGGGUGACCGGCAACAAGGGGACUGAGACACGGCCCUUACCCCUACGGGAGGAAGCAGUGGGAAAUAUUGGACAAUGGACCGAGAGUCUGGUCCAGCAGUUGUGUGUGCAAGAUGAGGUUUUUCGGAAUGUAAAGUGCUUUCAGUUGAGGAGAAGAAAAUGACGGUACCAACAGAAGAAGUGACGGCUAAAUACGUG